Molecule: long non-coding RNA, 363 nt
Organism: Stylophora pistillata
Lineage: Eukaryota; Metazoa; Cnidaria; Anthozoa; Scleractinia; Pocilloporidae
Source: RefSeq, a predicted model, not a curated record
UCGACGAGUGCGCCGAAAAUAUCCACAAUUGUAGCAAGGACAACGCCACUUGUUCUAAUAGCAAGGGAACGUUCAACUGCUCAUGUAAUCCUGGUUUCAGAGGUGAUGGAUAUAACUGCACAGACAUUGACGAGUGUUCUCAAAACAUUCACAACUGCAGCAACAUAACCGCCACUUGCUCUAAUACCGUGGGAGCAUUCAAGUGUGUUUGUAAACCAGGAUUUAUUGGUGACGGACACAACUGCAUAGACAUAGACGAGUGUCUUCAAAACCACAAUUGUAGUGAGAACGCCAACUGUUCAAAUACCAAGGGAUCUCACAACUGCUCUUGCUAUCCUGGAUUCAGCGGGAAUGGAAAUGAAU